AUGNGAUAAAGGCAGCCUAUCUGAGUAC
Molecule: non-coding RNA, 28 nt
Filed under: Mus musculus (house mouse)
Lineage: Eukaryota; Metazoa; Chordata; Mammalia; Rodentia; Muridae
Source: RNAcentral